Molecule: ribosomal RNA, 465 nt
Filed under: uncultured bacterium
Lineage: Bacteria
Description: partial 16S ribosomal RNA
Rfam family: Bacterial small subunit ribosomal RNA
Source: RNAcentral
GACGAACGCUGGCGGCGUGCUUAACACAUGCGAGUCGAACGGAAAGGCCCUGCUUGCAGGGUACUCGAGUGGCGAACGGGUGAGUAACACGUGGGUGAUCUGCCCUGCACUUCGGGAUAAGCCUGGGAAACUGGGUCUAAUACCGGAUAGGAGCCAUUUUUAGUGUGAUGGUUGGAAAGUUUUUUCGGUGUAGGAUGAGCUUGCGGCCUAUCAGCUUGUUGGUGGGGUAAUGGCCUACCAAGGCGGCGACGGGUAGCCGGCCUGGGAGGGUGGACGGCCACAUUGGGACUGAGAUACGGCCCAGACUCCUACGGGAGGCAGCAGUGGGGAAUAUUGCACAAUGGGCGCAAGCCUGAUGCAGCGACGCCGCGUGGGGGAUGACGGCCUUCGGGUUGUAAACUCCUUUCGCUAGGGACGAAGCUUUUUGUGACGGUACCUAGAUAAGAAGCACCGGCUAACUACGUG